Oxyura jamaicensis (ruddy duck) is the source of this 226-nucleotide long non-coding RNA. RefSeq lists it as uncharacterized. The transcript is spliced from 3 exons. The record is from RefSeq and is a predicted model, not a curated record. Lineage: Eukaryota; Metazoa; Chordata; Aves; Anseriformes; Anatidae.
UAAAUGUGUUUUGUCUGUUUGAAGAGUUAUCCAUGUAGAUCAUUGGCUCACUUCACAGUAGCUUCUUCUUGUCAAAGCUAUUUCUAUGGACAGCCCUCUUCAAAUAUGUCUUCCAUGAACAUAUCUGGGACACCAGGAAAGCUAGGUCAGUACUUGGCUCAGAACAGAACAGAUGGUCAAGCCAGCUUUCUAUCUUCUGUAGUACAUACUAUUUAGUCUCUCAAAA